CCUACGGGCGGCAGCAGUAGGGAAUAUUGCUCAAUGGGGAAACCCGGAAGCAGAAACGGCGCGUGGAGGAAGAAGGUUUUCGGAUUGUAAACUCCUUUUGUUAGAGAAGAUAAUGACGGUAUCUAACGAAUAAGCACCGGCUAACUCCGUGCCAGCAGCCGCGGUAAUACGGAGGGUGCAAGCGUUACUCGGAAUCACUGGGCGUAAAGAGCGCGUAGGCGGGAUAGCAAGUCAGAUGUGAAAUCCUAUGGCUUAACCAUAGAACUGCAUUUGAAACUGGUAUUCUAGAGUAUGGGAGAGGUAGGUGGAAUGCGUGGUGUAGGGGUGAAAUCCGUAGAGAUCAAGAGGAAUACUCAUUGCGAAGGCGGCCUGCUAGAACAUAACUGACGCUGAUGCGCGAAAGCGUGGGGAGCAAACAGGAUUAGAUACCCGGGUAGUC
Molecule: ribosomal RNA, 439 nt
Filed under: uncultured bacterium
Lineage: Bacteria
Description: partial 16S ribosomal RNA
Rfam family: Bacterial small subunit ribosomal RNA
Source: RNAcentral